Non-coding RNA from Pelobates cultripes (western spadefoot toad), 228 nucleotides. The record is from the annotation of a GenBank genome assembly. NCBI's taxonomy places the organism in Eukaryota, Metazoa, Chordata, Amphibia, Anura, Pelobatidae.
CAUAUGUAACAGAUCCUGGAUAGCAGGAUCUGUCCCAGGCACGCUCACAACUGCAGCUUACUAUGUCUGAUGCAAUGUGACUAGGUUCUCUAUCUUAGCAGUAGACUUGUCACACUUUUUUACUAUUACAUGUGUAUCUCAGAUUUAAAGGGACAUGUUACUGCUCAAAUAAAAAUCCUUGUUUAACAAGAAUAUGCCACAUGUGUUAUAUGCUAAUCAAGUCUUUCA